GGGGGCUCUUGGCAUAUAAAUAAAUAGACAGCUGCAACCAAACUACUUGGUUGCUCUAUAUAUUCCCCAUUCAUCACCGCCUUCUUUUUCUCAACAAAAUUCUGACAAUCUUUCUUUAAAUUCACUCAUUUAUUAUUUUGCAAAUUUGUUACAAUAAAUUCAUAUUUCUUGAAGUGCGACAAUAACCCAUCAAGCAUGAGGGAAAGUGAAGCUCAGAAGCUCAAUUUCAUGCUCAUUUUCUCACUUCUGCUGAUUUUCUGAUAAUGUGUUUGAUCUGUUAAUGAUGUUUGAUUGAUUAUACAUCAUCAGAUGGUGCAUCACCAAAUGGGUCAAUUUGGUUAUGUUUUAUAUGGAAUGGUUAUACAUGAAUUACUACUCACAGCGUGAUUGGAUAACAAUAAUAAGAAUUAUAAGUUUAUGUGUCAUUGCAGUAUGAUUUGAUGGAUUUGGCAUUCAAAUUCCAUUAAAAGUAGAAGAGGCACAUUAUUUGUAUAAUAUCAUGAAGGUUUCUUGUGCCAGCUAAGAUCAAAACCCUUAAUUGGUAUAUUUGCAAAAUCUAUGUAGAGGAAUCGACAGACCAACGUAUCCCAGAAGCUGUAAUUUUUUUUUGACACGGUGGUUCCAUAAAAACAAACAUGUUUGUAAAGUUUAAGGUGCGAGUAUAUCACUUGUGACCGUUACAUGUGGUGUAUACUCUUAAGACCUUUUAUGGGCUACCUAAACUGGUCAGUUGUUAGGAAAGUGGUUCGGUUAAUAAUAUAAACAGUUGGUUAUUAAUGUGGAUAAAUUAAGUAUGUUCCAGAGUAUAUCACUUGUGACCGUUACAUGUGGUGUAUACUCUUAAGACCUUUUAUGGGCUACCUAAACUGGUCAGUUGUUAGGAAAGUGGUUCGGUUAAUAAUAUAAACAGUUGGUUAUUAAUGUGGAUAAAUUAAGUAUGU
Molecule: long non-coding RNA, 941 nt
Filed under: Helianthus annuus (common sunflower)
Lineage: Eukaryota; Viridiplantae; Streptophyta; Magnoliopsida; Asterales; Asteraceae
Description: hypothetical non coding rna
Source: RNAcentral